Molecule: ribosomal RNA, 475 nt
Filed under: Staphylococcus sp.
Lineage: Bacteria; Bacillati; Bacillota; Bacilli; Caryophanales; Staphylococcaceae
Description: bacterial SSU rRNA
Rfam family: Bacterial small subunit ribosomal RNA
Source: RNAcentral
CACGUGGAUAACCUACCUAUAAGACUGGGAAACUUCGGGAAACCGGAGCUAAUACCGGAUAAGAUUUUGAACCGCAUGGUUCAAUAGUGAAAGACGGCCUUGCUGUCACUUAUAGAUGGAUCCGCGCCGUAUUAGCUAGUUGGUAAGGUAACGGCUUACCAAGGCAACGAUACGUAGCCGACCUGAGAGGGUGAUCGGCCACACUGGAACUGAGACACGGUCCAGACUCCUACGGGAGGCAGCAGUAGGGAAUCUUCCGCAAUGGGCGAAAGCCUGACGGAGCAACGCCGCGUGAGUGAUGAAGGUCUUCGGAUCGUAAAACUCUGUUAUCAGGGAAGACAAACGUGUAAGUAACUGUGCACGUCUUGACGGUACCUGAUCAGAAAGCCACGGCUAACUACGUGCCAGCAGCCGCGGUAAUACGUAGGUGGCAAGCGUUAUCCGGAAUUAUUGGGCGUAAAGCGCGCGUAGGCGG